CAGCCGCCGCGGUAAUACGAAGGGGGCUAGCGUUGCUCGGAAUGACUGGGCGCAAAGGGCGCGUAGGCGGCGAUCAAAGUCAGGCGUGAAAUUCCUGGGCUCAACCUGGGGGCUGCGCUUGAUACUGGGUUGCUUGAGUGGGGAAGAGGGUCGUGGAAUUCCCAGUGUAGAGGUGAAAUUCGUAGAUAUUGGGAAGAACACCGGUGGCGAAGGCGGCGACCUGGUCCUUUACUGACGCUGAGGCGCGAAAGCGUGGGGAGCAAACAGGAUUAGAUACCCCGGUAGUCCCUGUCUCUUAUAC
Molecule: ribosomal RNA, 301 nt
Filed under: uncultured bacterium
Lineage: Bacteria
Description: partial 16S ribosomal RNA
Rfam family: Bacterial small subunit ribosomal RNA
Source: RNAcentral